Molecule: transfer RNA, 76 nt
Filed under: Candidatus Saccharimonadota bacterium
Lineage: Bacteria; Candidatus Saccharimonadota
Also listed under: 1 other name
Description: tRNA-Ala
Rfam family: tRNA
About the family: Transfer RNA (tRNA) molecules are approximately 80 nucleotides in length. Their secondary structure includes four short double-helical elements and three loops (D, anti-codon, and T loops).
Source: RNAcentral
GGGGUGCUAGCUCAUCUGGUAGAGCGCGACAUUCGCAUUGUCGAGGUGAGGAGUUCAAGUCUCCUGCACUCCACCA